CAAUAAUUCACCACCACACGCUAUGUACUUGUCGAAGAACCAGGCUGCCACACCUACGGGACCAAAUCUCAUGGAGGAAAAAAGAUGAAGAAAAAGGCUUCAUGUGGAAGGAAAGCACCCCCGUCAUAUGAUGUGCAAUACCGAACUAAAAAGCUUUCCAGUUAUCAGAACUUUUUCUUGGAGUUUCACUCUCUACUGAUGUCUUAAAUGGCCCAGUAGAGCCAAAUGGAUCAGAGUCG
Molecule: unclassified non-coding RNA, 239 nt
Filed under: Hevea brasiliensis (rubber tree)
Lineage: Eukaryota; Viridiplantae; Streptophyta; Magnoliopsida; Malpighiales; Euphorbiaceae
Source: RNAcentral